Molecule: ribosomal RNA, 406 nt
Filed under: uncultured bacterium
Lineage: Bacteria
Description: bacterial SSU rRNA
Rfam family: Bacterial small subunit ribosomal RNA
Source: RNAcentral
AUUGAACGCUGGCGGCAGGCUUAACACAUGCAAGUCGAGCGGUAGCACAGGGGAGCUUGCUCCCUGGGUGACGAGCGGCGGACGGGUGAGUAAUGUCUGGGAAACUGCCUGAUGGAGGGGGAUAACUACUGGAAACGGUAGCUAAUACCGCAUAACGUCGCAAGACCAAAGAGGGGGACCUUCGGGCCUCUUGCCAUCAGAUGUGCCCAGAUGGGAUUAGCUAGUAGGUGGGGUAAUGGCUCACCUAGGCGACGAUCCCUAGCUGGUCUGAGAGGAUGACCAGCCACACUGGAACUGAGACACGGGUCCAGACUCCUACGGGAGGCAGCAGUGGGGAAUAUUGCACAAUGGGGGAAACCCUGAUCCAGCCAUGCCGCGUGAGUGAUGAAGGCCCUAGGGUUGUAAA